Sycon ciliatum is the source of this 3687-nucleotide long non-coding RNA. RefSeq lists it as uncharacterized. NCBI's taxonomy places the organism in Eukaryota, Metazoa, Porifera, Calcarea, Leucosolenida, Sycettidae. The transcript is spliced from 3 exons. The record is from RefSeq and is a predicted model, not a curated record.
GACAAAUCCUUACAAUGGGUAUUGAGAGUAUGUUCCUAGAGUUUCAGAGGCCUAGGCAAAAGCAUUGGUACAAAUGAACAUUUUGAAUGCACCCCACUUUCAAGUUUUCAGAGAUAUCUGCCUGAUCGCAUGUACGCGAUUCUGGCAUGCUGGCUGGCUCGUGUGACAGCGGCCUGUCCAAAAUGGCGCCCACGCUUUUGUGUGAUGCUGUGAGCCCUGAAUUUCUGCAGGUGAUCCAUACUUUCUUCCUGCCGGCACAAACUUACCACCAUUGCGAGCACACUCCGCUACCCAGAAUGCAGCUGCUGGUGGUCCGUCUUCUUCAUCCUGCAGCGAACUGGACGGCAUCACCCUAUGAAAAUGUGGUACCUUUAUUUUUCGGCCAUUGCAAUUCUAUUGUCAAUGAACAGGAGUACUACUGUACUCAUAACAUUUACAUCUGCAUGUACGCAUCAGCUGUGUGUUCUAAUGGAUGGUGGUAGUUGCAUAGUGUAAGAGUGCACUCACUGAUUAUGGUGGCUCACUUCGAGGUCUUAACAUGUAGAAAUCCACCAGAUUUACUCUACAGCGUCCUGUAUGCUACGUGAGACAAUAAUGUCUCUUUUGUUUUGUUUUCUGAGACAUUUGUUCAUUGGUGUGUGUGUGUGUGUGUGUGUGUGUGUGUGUGUGUAUGUGUGUGUAUGUGUGUGUACGUGUGUGUACGUGUGUAUGUGUGUGUUUGUGUGUGUGUAUGUGUGGCCACAUGCAAAAUGUUCAUGUCGUGGUUGUUUUGUAUAUGCAUCGCAUUUUGCACGUGAUCUGGGUGUAUGUGGUUUCCCCUUUUCUUCUCCUUCCUCUACAGGACCAUCAUCUAUCAAUUUACUUAGUAUUAUUUCGUUUUGCCCCUGAACAAUUCUGUUGUGGCAUAGGACAUUUGUGAUGAGCCGUCCUUGCCAGUCCACAAUUUUUUUUACACACACACACACACAGCCUUUGGACACUGCAAGUCCUCAAAACGGGUUGACAUAAAAUGACAGGUGUUCUGUUCAGCCCACGGGGAUUGAGUGUGGAUGGGGUAUGGAGGUUGCUGGUGGACCAGUGGCAGGCUUGGUCGACUCCUUGACUUGGCUGAUCAAGGAUAUCAUGCCACAAAAGGAGGUAUGAUGCCCAACAAAACUCUUGUAAUGUCUUCUGGUGUCAAGCUUAAUUUUUAACACGCUCAACUCGCCUGCACUUCGCAGCUGUACAUUGUUGUUUUCCCCCAAGUCGCUUCAAGCGCUCUAGCAAGGCCCGGCACAGUGGUUUCUAAGAAACAGACUGAUUGGGACUGUCCUGGGGGAAAGAUGUGGCAUCAAUGAAAGAUGACCAUGCUUCCUCUACCGUAAGUAGUUCCAGUGCACUUGUGCAUCAGUGAUGAAUACUGUGACAGCGGAUCCAGGAGGGGUUCCAGGGGUUCCGCGGAACCCCUAUAUUUCGUAAAUGUACUACUGGCAACCAUAUGCGUGUCCAUGUACAUGUAUCAGCUAUUCAGUUUUGACUGUACUGGAACCCCCUGUAGAGAUCGCUGGAUCCGCCGCUGUGUAAAUCAACAAAUUUUCGGCCCGGAUUUCGGCCAGAACAAAUUUUCAGCCAAUUAUACGUUGGCCGAUAAUAGCAUAGGGCAUCUGAGCACUUGCUGGGCAGCACUCUCAUACCCGGUAUUCUUGACUGUUUUCAUCUCUACAGGUCCAGACCCGUCAACCCCAGGGGCUAGAUGCUUGCCAUUGAACAACAACGUCCGACCAAGUCGGCAGGAGGGCCAGGACUGCGUCAAUACCACAUCGCCACAGGACUGGUGACAAAAACCAUAAGUAUUUCCGUGAUGUUUUGUUUACUAGACUGGCAGCCAUGACAGUUUGGAACUUACGCCUGGGUCAACUACCUCUCCUCAGCCAUUUUGCAUGAAAACACUAAAACUCGCAUCUAUUGACGGUUAUAGACCAAAUAUAUUCAAUGUAUAAACACACAGAAUUUCUUUGAAUGUCAUUGCAUGAGGGUUUUUUUAAAUAGUUGUGGCUAGUAGCCCAUUAUCUUCUUUUCUAUAGGCGUGAAGCUGCAGAAAGCAUCCAGACUAAUCUGUAACCCAAAGCCAUCAAGUUUGCUUCCGCGGCUACCUUGCAAAUUUGAGACCAUUACAGGGACUGCAGCUCAUUUCUACCUAUACAUAUCUACAAGUUUCUGCACAAACUGCUGAUGAGGUUAUCCAAAGAUCUUCUCCUUUGCGACAGCACCCAAUUUGAAAUUGGCUGAGGAGGGGAGUGGCCUAGUGUAUUCCUUUUCCGCAAACACUUCCACCUCCUUGACGUUUUCCUCUUCUGAGAAGAUAUCACUAGCUCUGGAGCAGCUACAUGUGAAGAUUUUAUCAUACAAUAAUCAUUCCAGUUGUGCUUUCAUGACGCUUGCAGACAAUUUGCUUGAAAAGGACAUUUUUAUGCCUUCUGAAACAGAAUUCGGUCUUUUUUCUUUUUCCCUUUGGAAGUGUUUGCGGAACUGUGAUGUGGGUGCUUAAUUGAAUACUUUGCAUUCAUUCUAUUCAUUAUUGCUUGUAUUAUUUGCAUUAUUUGGGCUGCUGUCUAAAAUGAUUUGUUUGCUCUUAUGCCUCCCUGUAGUCUGUCAAGCCCAGCGUCAAGAUGGACAACGAGCGCUACGGACAUCACCGUCGUAACAAACAUUCUAAGUAUCUCUUUGCUGUGCAUGUUAGACCAGUGCAACAGGUCUUCUCCGUUUCAUUUUCUCCCAGACAAAAGCAAGUUUGCUCAACCUGAACUUCAUUACCUUCCAACUCAUUGGAUCUUCAGCCAUAACUUUUUGCACUGGUCUGUUAUGAGUGUAGUUGGCGUUCUGCAUGGUUUUCUAUCCCAACCCCAUCCCCAGUAGGCCUCUGCAUACAGGGAGUUGGGUUGAACAGCAAUGAAUGCUGGACUGUUUUCAUCCACCCUGGGUAGUAGCAUUUUGCAUGUAACCCUGCCUGCUCCCACAUGCAUAGUCUUUAUUACUCAGUGGUGUUGUCUGCAUGCUUUGACAAUCCCCGUGGGUGGGUAGUUAGGGUACUGAUAUUGUAGUACAGGUUCAUCGGUUUUCUAUCUCCUGUGUUUUUCUUCUCCCCAGCCCAGGUCAAGCGUCGUAGACGGAGGACUUCAUGGUGUCGCCGGAGCUGAGCAAGGAAGCUAUCAGCAUUUCAGCCUCCAAGAAAUGUCGAUGCUGCUCACCAUACCCUUUGGUAUGGUCUUGCACAUCGGAUCAUGGCCAAGUCAAGGAGCCACCCAAGCCUGCCAUCGCCAGCAAUCCCCGUCCUGGGAGUUAUUAUUUUGGUCGAGGAUGUGGGCUUGAACAGAACACCUGUCACCCUGGGAGGGGAUGGGUUCUACAUGUUUCUGUAUAUUGCUGGCUCUUUCUUUUCCAAUAGGAUUGUUGUAUUGGCAGAGUAGCUGUGCAUGCAUGUUGUUGCUGCCUUCAUUUCAGGGAUAAGUCUUUCAGGAUCACCGAUGGAUCUGGAAACAAGAAUGGUCAGCGGCUAGUCUACAUAUGACUACAAGCUGGCAGCUGGGUGGUCCUGACAGACAUUAUUCCAUUUUGGCUUUGGCCGUGUGUGUUCCUGUGGGUGAAUGGCUCACGAAUAAUGACGUCGUUGGAGACGAAUUAUUCACUGAGAUGGCAAUGUGUGAUGGG